Molecule: ribosomal RNA, 241 nt
Filed under: uncultured bacterium
Lineage: Bacteria
Description: partial 16S ribosomal RNA
Rfam family: Bacterial small subunit ribosomal RNA
Source: RNAcentral
GAUCCUGGCUCAGGAUGAACGCUGGCGGCGUGCUUAACACAUGCAAGUCGAGCGAAGCACUUUACUUGGAUUUCUUCGGAAUGACGAGUAUUGUGACUGAGCGGCGACGGGUGAAGGUAACGCGUGGGUAACCUGCCUCAUACAGGGGGAUAACAGUUAGAAAUGACUGCUAAUACCGCAUAAGACCACAGCACCGCAUGGUGCAGAGGUAAAAACUCCGGUGGUAUGAGAUGGACCCGCG